AGGUUAUGGCUUACCAAGGCGACGACGGGUAGCCGGCCUGAGAGGGUGUCCGGCCACACUGGGACUGAGAUACGGCCCAGACUCCUACGGGAGGCAGCAGUGGGGAAUAUUGCACAAUGGGCGCAAGCCUGAUGCAGCGACGCCGCGUGAGGGAUGAAGGCCUUCGGGUUGUAAACCUCUUUCAGCAGGGACGAAGCGUGAGUGACGGUACCUGCAGAAGAAGCACCGGCUAACUACGUGCCAGCAGCCGCGGUAAUACGUAGGGUGCGAGCGUUGUCCGGAAUUACUGGGCGUAAAGAGUUCGUAGGCGGUUUGUCGCGUCGUUUGUGAAAACCCGGGGCUCAACUUCGGGCUUGCAGGCGAUACGGGCAGACUUGAGUGUUUCAGGGGAGACUGGAAUUCCUGGUGUAGCGGUGAAAUGCGCAGAUAUCAGGAGGAACACCGGUGGCGAAGGCGGGUCUCUGGGAAACAACUGACGCUGAGGAACGAAAGCGUGGGUAGCAAACAGGAUUAGAUACCCUGGUAGUCCACGCCGUAAACGGUGGGCGCUAGG
Molecule: ribosomal RNA, 553 nt
Filed under: uncultured Actinomycetes bacterium
Lineage: Bacteria; Bacillati; Actinomycetota; Actinomycetes
Description: bacterial SSU rRNA
Rfam family: Bacterial small subunit ribosomal RNA
Source: RNAcentral